ACUCCUGCGGGAGGCAGCAGUGGGGAAUAUUGGACAAUGGGCGCAAGCCUGAUCCAGCCAUGCCGCGUGAGUGAUGAAGGCCCUAGGGUUGUAAAGCUCUUUCACCGGUGAAGAUAAUGACGGUAACCGGAGAAGAAGCCCCGGCUAACUUCGUGCCAGCAGCCGCGGUAAUACGAAGGGGGCUAGCGUUGUUCGGAUUUACUGGGCGUAAAGCGCACGUAGGCGGACUAUUAAGUCAGGGGUGAAAUCCCGGGGCUCAACCCCGGAACUGCCUUUGAUACUGGUAGUCUUGAGUUCGAGAGAGGUGAGUGGAAUUCCGAGUGUAGAGGUGAAAUUCGUAGAUAUUCGGAGGAACACCAGUGGCGAAGGCGGCUCACUGGCUCGAUACUGACGCUGAGGUGCGAAAGCGUGGGUAGCAAACAGGAUUAGAAACCCCGGUAGUCCCAUGAU
Molecule: ribosomal RNA, 450 nt
Filed under: uncultured organism
Description: partial 16S ribosomal RNA
Rfam family: Bacterial small subunit ribosomal RNA
Source: RNAcentral